This 69-nucleotide ribosomal RNA is filed under the name Vibrio cholerae. RNAcentral also lists the same sequence under 1 other name. The record is from RNAcentral. Lineage: Bacteria; Pseudomonadati; Pseudomonadota; Gammaproteobacteria; Vibrionales; Vibrionaceae.
CUUGGCGACCAUAGCGUUUUGGACCCACCUGAUUCCAUCCCGAACUCAGAAGUGAAACGAAACAGCGUC